GAGGAAAAUUUAAGAGAGUAGCUCUCACAUGUCUUUAACAGCAAAGGUGAGGCUGCUCAGAGGAAGGUCAUGUGACGAAGACGGCGGCCGAAGAAGGAAUUUCUCCACGAAAGCUCCAUGUUCUGAGUCUAUCGCCAUCCCUCUCUGCCACUGCUGUCUCAGACAAUCUCAGCCUCAGCAGCAGCUCCACAUUUUGAUGACAGAAGUGAACAGCUCUCCACUCAUCAAUCAUGCGAUGAUCACUUCAGCCAGUGAGGACAAAUAUUAUUCCUUAAAAAAAAUCUGUGUUGAUAAGGCGGUCACUUCAGCCAGUGAGGACAAACUGGAAAUUCUGGAGGUUGCUUAAGUCCUCACUGUGGUCGUUAGACAUUGAGAAUCGAUAAAGUGGUACUUAAAAGCAGGAAAAACAACUUACCAUAAAAUCUGAAACAUCAAAUGUGUUUAAAAGGUCGUACCCAGUGCACAAGGCUCCCGCUUUACGCAGGGUUUGGGAGAGGUGAAUGUCGGCUAGCCUUACCCCCAUUUAUGGAGAGGCUGCUCUCAAGUCUCGAACCCGAGACCUACCGCUCAUGGGCGAAGGCACUUGCCAUCGCACCAAGUGCGACCUCAAAUGUGUUUGGUAAAAAAAAAAAAAGCUUAUUUAAAAAAUUGUUGUCAAUGACAACAAAAAAGCAUAGAAAAGCAGAAGUAGGAUCUACUAUGCUUUAAAAUUAUCUAAGCAUAGUGAACAGUGGCCAUUUGAUGAAAUUUUCAAAUAGCAAGUAUACCCCUGCCUUUUUUACAAAAUAACAAUCGUUGCCCGUGGAAUAUUAUCUUUGACAACUAUUAUAGGGAAUUAUUAUUAGCAUUCCAAAAGUCUCAUUUGACAUUCCAAACUUUCUAUAAUUAGAAAGAAAAAAAACACUUGUGAGGAGUGUAGAAUGAGAUUUUUGGAAUGCUAAUAACAGUUCCGUUAUUAUAUCACAUUAAAUGCCAUAUCAUUUUUAGUAUUUAACAUAUUCACAUUAAUUUUAUAUAAAAGUUGACAUAACACUCAGAUACUGUUUUCUUUUUUUUUACAAGCACUUUUACAAUAAAAGUUUAUUAAACGCUUAACAACUUUAUUUUACAGCUGUUCUGCUGUUUUUUUUUUUUUUUUUAACAUAACAAUACCAAACUAGCAAAACUUACAAGCACAUAUAUCAGGAAAAGAUUAUCAGAGUCUGCAACUCAAAAUCUUGUAGUCAACAUUCACAACUUCCCGACGUGUUCUUUGAGAGUGUCGUAAAGAGUCUCGACAAGAUUGAGCAGGAACCCGUCCGAGCCAUGCUUUGCCAGCAAGGAAACUGAAACGGGUAGGUUAUCGUACAUCCCUAGUGGUAUAGUCACCUGCAAAUACGUAGAAAUACGUUACAAACUUUCACAAGAUAUUUGCAGUCAUUGAAGAAGAAAAAGAUCGUAGUCAUAUACAAACAUGGAGACUGGAGAGGGGGAGGGAGAAGUAGAGAUAGAUAGAGGGCUUAAAAACCUGGCAGAAUCCGGAAACUACGGCAAUGGAUAGGAAGCUGAAAGCCCUGGCACGAAAAUUGUGCAGUGUUGUAGGAUCUGUUUGCAGCUUUGGUGGAUCCCCUGGAACUGUAGGCAUUGCGAGGACACCGAAAUCCUGAUGAGUAAAUCAAAGAGAUUGUGUUAUGUAUUCAUUAGAGACGGUAUGUAUCAUCCAUUUCUUCUGCUAAAGGUACCUUUUUAAGAGCAAAAGGAAGGAAGAUGCUAACAAAUAACAGUUUGUCAAAGAUGAGAGAGAGAGAGAGAGAGAGAGAGAGUACCCCGAGAAGGUCAGUAAGAGCAGCACGCAAUUCAGUCAUCACGGAGUGACAAACAUCGACAUUUUCAUCUGUUGACCGAACAGCUGCCCAUAUACGUUCUCCUAUCCCGGGACCUAAGUCAGGUCUGACUGUACUAACCCAUUCACCAUGGUUGCUCUUGAAUUCAUACCUAUUCUAUCAACCAAAUGAUAAAUUUGGAAUUCAUUAUGAACGACAAAUUUGAAUUUUGUUGAUCAAGAUGAAGAUGCAGAAAUUAUCACACUCAUAUUCAAGUCGACCAAAUCAGCACCUUUCAAGUAGACGAUCGGCGGUUGAUAGGGCUGCCAAUGACGGUAUAAUGUACUCUUCACUUGGAUUUCCUUUAUCCAAGAAAGAGUUCAAGCUUGGAACUUUGUCCUUGACAACGUCCCCAAGGUUAGCAUGUUUUAUAACAUGACCUGCAUUUGCAGAUAUAACGAGUGAGCUUCUUCUUUCCAUGUUAUGAACUUGUCCCUAUCUCAGCAGGAGACCUAAUUUAAUUAAGUGAAUGAUGAUUUUCAGGUAAUAAUCUGUCUACUGAAUUUAAUGGUCUAUUUGUGUCUUAAAAUGCGAGGGAAUUAUAAAUUGGACUCGAUUCAUGUCAAUCAAAGUACUUACAGCAAGAGAUGAAACAGAUGAAUAUGGUCAAAUCACUUACCCCCAAAUAACUUCUCAACUGAGUCAACAAGUACUUGUUUCACUCGACUGCUUGGAACACUUGAAAGCUGGAAACAGUCUUCUGCGAUGAUUAACUGAGUGGGUACGACAGGACCUGUAUCAGGCAAUUGGAGUAACACUCGUCCAACUCUAUUCAAAAUCGCAGGAUCCCUUGCAAACCAUCCUAUAUCAGAAGUUAGUGUCAAAAGGAUGGUUUCCAAUUGCUUAGAGUGCUAGAUAGAUCAUUCGCAUAGGUAAAGCUUUCGAAGUACUAUAUUUCCAAUUGCAGAAAAACUUAAACACAGAAGUGUCACAAGUAAUAAUCAACAAAAAUGCAGAAUGCCUGGAUGGCAUAUGAAUCAUUAAAGCGGAAGAAGUUAGCUACAUUCUAGCAACAGAAAUAGAGAUUUCCUGUUAUAUAAAAUCGAGGGAAAACUGAAACAUGACUUUUUUUGUCACAACCAGAAAUCAAUUUCCUAAGCCAGUCUGCAAUAUAAAAUGUCAUUGAUUUCUCACCCACUGUAUCGAAACUUUGUGCCAGGGGAGUAACUCCAGAGGUAGAAAUGACACCAUGAGAUGGCCGAAACCCAAAAACUCCACAAUAUGAAGCAGGAACUCUUAUACUUCCUCCAGUGUCGGUUCCUGAAAAAUUGAGGGUCUUGUGCUUCAACAUAAAGAAGCAAGAAAACAACAAAAGCACGCAUGGAAUAACCUACCUAAGGAAAAAUCUGCGAGGCCUACAGCUACGGCAACAGCAGAACCGCUAGAAGAGCCUCCAGGCACCCUAUCUGGUGCGCACGGAUUUCUGGGUGUGCCAUAAUGCUUGUUCUCUCCAUUUAUACUGCCAACAACACAAUGCUAAAUUCAAGAGCAUUUCUGUCGAGUGAUUUUCAAAUGUACAAAAUCAUGAUAUAAAUACUUUUACCAUGAAAAGAGACUUGUAGUGAUCAAUCAUUUGUGAAAAUUUUUGCAAACAAAACAGUAAUGCAAGUUUAAGCAUGUGAAGUAAGACAAGGCCUCUUUGCACUAACCAGUAUGCCAUUUCAUCCAUGACAGUUAUACCAAUACUUGUGGCACCUCCACUCAAUAUUGCUGAAACAGCCGGAGCUGUUGACUCAGCAGCCGGGUGAGUCCUCGCCCAAUCAGGAUUCCCAAACCCAGUCACACGUCCAGCCACAUCAAAUCUGCCUCCAAGUUCAAAUUUCAGUGAACACAAAAAUGUUUUGGCUUUUACACACACACAUGAAAAAAAUUGCACAAUUCAACACCCUGAAGUUCACCAUCAUGGUUCCACAAGCACACAUAAAACCACACAAAGCAUGAAGAUUUAUUAAAACGCUUCUCUGAAAAAGCACUUCUCAUCAUAAGUGCUUUUGCUGGAAGUAUUUUUACUUUAGUAGAAGUAAAUCCACCACAAAGUUUCAUUAAAAAUUCAAGUGCUUCAGAAAAAAAACAUUUGAACAUUUUUUCUGAAAGUGCUUUUAGUCAUUCUCAAAUGAAGAAACGCCCAAUCACAGAAACAACACACAAAAUUGGGUUCUUGGAGACAACUGAUUGAACCCAAAUCCGAAAUCAGCAAAUAAGCACAAAAGCAUAUGAAUUUUAAGUAUAACACUACAAAAUUUAAAGCAUCCACCAAAUAGAAGAGUGAUAUAAUUGAGGAAAAUUUAAGAGAGUAGCUCUCACAUGUCUUUAACAGCAAAGGUGAGGCCGCUCAGAGGAAGGUCAUGUGAUGAAGACGGCGGUCGGAGAAGGAAUUUCUCCACGAAAGCUCCAUGAUCUGAGUCUAUCGCCAUCUCUCUCUGCCACUGCUGUCUCAGACAAUCUCAGCCUCAGCAGCAGCUCCACAUUUGACGACAGAAGUGAAAAGCUCUCCACUCAUCAAUCAUACGAUGAUCGUAUUCAAAUGCAAGGACAAAUAUUAUUCCUUAAAAAAAUAUGUUGUUGAUAAGGUGGUAACUUCAGUCAGUGAGGGCAAAGUGGAAAUUCUGGAGGUAGCUUAAGUCCUCACUAUGGUCCUUAGACUUUGAGAAUUGAUACAAAUGGUCUUUAAAUUUCUCCACCGUAAAUUAUUUUGCUCUAAAAAAUUUGUCAAUAUCAUCGUUGAGUGGUUGGGUUGAUUAGACAAAAUAUCAAAGAAAGACAAUUCAAGGACCGCUUCUAUCGGUUUUCAUUAUCAUGAUCAAAGUGAGGGGUUUUGCCAAAGUCAUGAACUAUUUUGACUAAAACCCUAAAAAAAAAAGGGAAUUGUUAUUGGCUCUCCAAAAAUCUCAUUCUAUACUCCAACUUUCUAUAUUUGGAAAGAAAACUACACUUCUGAUGAGUGUAGAAUAAGAUUCUUGGAGUGUUAAUAACACUUCCCAAAAAAUAAAACAUAUUCUAUGAAAAUAUUGUGAAUUUCUUAGCUUAUGGAUCCAACGCAAGUACACAAUGUAUUAGGGUUUUUAUCACAAAUGAUCCCUGAGAUUGAUCAAACUCAUUAUUUUGAUCCCUCACUUUCAAAAUCAAUCAAUGUCGUCUCUAACCUUCACUACCAAAUAUCAAUUGGGUCAUUCCGUUAAGAUUUUGUUAACUAUUCUGUUAGUUUAUAUGCGGGGCCCACAAUUUCAAUGAAAUUGUGACAUGUAGAUUACACAAAAUAAGGAUUUUUAUCGCAAAUGGUCCCUAACAUUGAUCUAACUCCUCAUUUUGGUAUCUGAGUUUCAAAAAUUAAUAAAUUUGGUCAUUGACUUUCAAUACCGCAUGUUAAUUUAAUCAUUCCGUUAAAGUUUCGUCAAUAUUCUUUUUCCCACUAAUUCAAUCAUAUGACGUCACGUGAAUUAACUAUAAGAAAUUUUUUUUUAAAGAUUUAAAACUAAAAGUAAAAUAAGAGACUAAAAACCAAUACUAAAAGAAAGAAAAAAGUCAUCGUCAUCUUCAUCAGGUAUGCUAAAAAAGAAAAUAAAGGCACCAUGACACUAUUAAAGUUCUUGGCCUCCUAAACUUACUCUUCAUUAUCUCCAGUUGGUUAUAAUCCUAUCAACUUUAAAUUGAAUUUGGAUUCGAUUUUAUCAAAUUUAGAUUGAAUUUUUUUCAAUUGGGGUUGUGGGAUGUGAGAAAUAUCAACGCAGAAUACUCGUAUGUUGGUUCAAUCUUAAAAAAAAAAAAAAAUUCUUAUAGUUAAUCCACGUGGAGCCAUAUUGAUGAAAUUUUAAUGAAAUGACUAAAUUGAUGUGCGAUAGUGAAAGUCAGGGAUCAAAUUCAUAAAUUUUUGAAACUUAGGGACCAAAAUGAGGGGUUGGACCAAUGUCAGUGACCAUUUGCGAUAAAAACUUUAAUUUUGUGUAAUCCACAUGUCACUAUUUCACUAGAUUUGUGGGUUCCACUUACAAACUAACAUAAUAGUUGACGGAAUUUUAACGGAAUGACCAAAUUGAUGUGGGGUAGUGAAUAUCAUGGACGACAUUAAUUGAUUUUGAAAGUAAGUCUCACUUACAAACUAACAGAAUAGUUGAAGGAAUCUUAACGGAAUGACCAAAUUGAUGUAGGGUAGUGAAUGUCAUGGACGACAUUAAUUGAUUUUGAAAGUAAGCGACCAAAAUGAUGAAUUUGAUCAAUUUUAUGGACCAUUUGUGAUAAAAACUCCAUUGUAUUAUCAAUGGAAACAAAAUUUCAAGUGGCAGUUCCAUACAUAUGCAGGCGAACUUUCAUUCGCUGCGGUCGUAAUAAAAAAAUAUGUACAAAUAAGGGAUCACAGGUCUGUGCUCGGCGAGUUCCACCUCUGCUGGCUUUGUAGUUACUCCCGGAGCACUCCAACCUAAGCGUUGCAUGCACACAGCAUCGUAUGCUUCAAUUUUCAAACCCGAAGCAAGAAAUAGUUCCACCUCGUUUACAAACCGAUUGGUUCUUGCUGCCAGGAAAGGCCCUGCUGCAUCACAGGUUGAUUCUUGAAAUUCUCUUUGUUUUUCUUCAGGUGCCGUCGUUCGACCUUUUUGUUCAUCCCUUGAAAAUGCAUGGUUCAGGUAAAAGUUCAGACAAAGAGUUCAUUGAAAUUUUGCACGUUUUCAAGCACUUCAAUGUUGUUCUUUCUCAUAUCUUGUCCAAAAGAACUCUAAAGACGGGAACUAACUUUGGAACGUUAUUCGAUUUUUCAAUUGAAGAUCUAGGGAGUAACACAUAUCACCUCGUCAGGGAUGAAUUAAUCACGCCAUGUAUGUGGUGCAUGACGAUGUCAACAUCUUCCUCCUACAAGCAGCAACAGAAGCAAGUUAGCUAUAAAGAGUCACCCGAAUAACUAUAACAUGCAUGUUCUGCUUUGGUCGUCAUAGAUAAAGAAAGACCACACGCACAAUUUUAUGAUUAGCUAAUUGGACUAGGUGAUCCAGUUCAUUGCCAAGCCAAAGAAACAAAAAUGAAACUCUGUAAGAUGUUGAAAUGUCCCCGUGUCACCACGAAAGAAAAUUUAUGCAGAAGAAGCCAAGACCUGCAUCAGAGCUUGGAUUUCCCUUCUCCACCAACUUUGGAGCCAGCGGUUUGGCUGAAGAUACUUGCUGGACUUCCGAUACCGUGGUAUGUCAAAUAUGUCACUUAAGAAAACUAAUUAAGAAACAAAGUUAACCAACUGGAAGGCAUGUAAACAGUGACGUCGUUUCUCAGGGAUAUAAAAUGAGAAACAACACAACCAAUAAAAUGACAAGAAGCACAAAACCUGGUUCAGUGUAAUAACACUGCAAUCUAUGCUUGUGCUCCUUUGAUAAGAAAAAGCUGCAGAUACCAUUAACAAAAAACGAUUUACAAAGAGGGUUACAUAUUUUCGAAAACGAUUUACAAAACUUUAUUUUUCAGGCCUAUCCACCCUUGUUUUUCUCCCCUCCAGGAAUUUUAGUGGCAGAGGUUUUGUGACGACGAGGAUUGUUGGUAAAAGCUGUUAUGUAGGAGACUUCUCCUUUCAGUAUAAAUGUCAUUACUCUUCUUUUAUUGUAAUUUAUUUAUGCUCUGACAUCAUUUGUGUGAAAUGGGUUCAAUCCCGCUCAUAUGCGCAGUCUAAAUUAGUUACUUUUAGGUUUUAAUUUAUUCACAAUUUUCACUUCACUACAUUUUAUGGCUUCGUCACCUCUGAGUGUCGGCUAGUACAUCACGAUUUGGGUGUCUGCGUGGACAUUCCGAGUCGGAAUGUGUCAAAAAUGUACCAUAUAAAGGCUACCAAUUUUUUGUAUGUAAAAUAUCAUUAAUAUAAGUAAUGACAAAUCAUGGGUUUUAUUUAAAUAGUUUAUUUUAAUGACAAAUCAUGUCAUUAAGAUAAAUUAUACUUUUUUAUAUAAGUAUAAUUUAUUUUUUUAUAUUUUCAAUCCCACAAAUCAUGAAUUUUAUCUAAAAUCUCAUUAAUACAAGUAACUAAAAAUAUCAAAAUAUCAAAUUUUAAUUUGAAAUUAUAAUAACCUACAUAGAAAUUUAUUAUUGUAUUAAUUUCAGGAACUUCAAUAAAAAACUGAAAACCAACAAGGUUUCAAUUGGAUUAAAAUUGAGGGACCAUUGAUACAAUUUUUCUUAUUUGAUUUUUCAUAUUUGCCCCUUAAUUUGGCCUCAUGUGCAUAGCAUGUGACUUAUUUUGGCAUAAGUUCUAAUGUAGUUGACAAAAAAAAAAAAUCAUAUCUGCACGUUUUGAUGAGUUUAGAGACCAAUGUUAAUGAAUUUUUAGUUGAUGGAUCGUUGCUCCUAUUAAGUUAAAGUUGAGAAAUUAUUGCUACAAUUUCCUCUACAAUUAAAGCUAAUAUAUAAGCUUGAUAGCUUGCUCAUGGACCAUACACAAGGAUAAAACGAGGAAAAUUCCUAUCUAUUUUAAACCUUAUGACUGAUUUGGGAUUGUGGUUCUUUUAUAAAAAACAGCUUAUGAAAAAAUCUGGAACAUCAAAUGUAUUUGGUACCAAAAAAAAAAGUGCUUAUUUAAAAAAUUGUUGUCAAUGACAACAGAAAAGUAAAGAAAAGCAGAAGCAGGGUCUACUAUGUUUCUAAAAAUUUCUAAGCAUGGUGAACAGUGAGAAUUUAAUGAAAUUUUCAAAUGGCAACUGCAUAUUUUACAAAAUAACAAUCGUUGUCCGUGCAAUAUUCUCUUUGGCAAUUAUUAUAUCACAUUAAAUGUCAUAUCAUUUUUAGUAUUUAACAAAUUCACAUCAAUUAUAUAUAUAAAAGUUUACAAAACACUCAGAUACUGUUUUAUUUUUUUACAAGCACUUUUACAAUAAAAGUUUAUCAAACGCUCAACAACUUUAUUUUACAACUGUUUAUUCUCAAAAUACUGCAGAAACAAUUUAAAAAAAAAAAAAAACAAAACAUAACAACACCAAACUAGCAGAACUUACAAGCACAUGUAUUAGGAAAAGAUUAUCAGAAUCUGCAACUCAAAAUCUUGUAGUCAACAUUCACAACUUCCCGGCGUGUUCUUUGAGAGUGCCGUAAAGAGUCUCCACAAGAUUGAGCAGGAAUCCAUCCGAGCCAUGCUUUGCCAGCAAGGAAACUGAAACAGGUAGGUUAUCGCACAUCCCUAGUGGUAUACUCACCUGCAAAUACGUAGAAAUAAGUUACUAACUUUCGCAAGAUACUUGCAGUCAAUGACGAAGAAAAAGAUUGUAACAUGUCGUAUACAAACAUGGAAAGGGGGAGGGAGAGGUAGAGAUAGAUAGAGGGCUUAAAAACCUGGCAGAAUCCGGAAACUACGGCAAUGGAUUGGAAGCUGAAAGCCCGGGCACGAAAAGCGUCCAGUAUACUAGGAUCUGUUUGCAGCUUUGGUGGAUCCCCUGGAACUGUAGGCAUUGCGAGGACACCGAAAUCCUGAUGAGUAAUUCAAAGAGAUUGUGUUACGUAUUCAUCAGAGACAGUAUUUCUUCUGCUAAAAGUUUCGUUUUAAGAGCAAAAGGAAGGAAGAUGCUAACAAAUAACAGUUUGUCAGUCUCUCUACUCUAACAAAACGAACUCGUUUGAUAUGAAGUGACGGAUUCCUAAAAUGAACUUUAGCGUGUGCAAAGAUGUGAGAGAGAGAGAGAGAGAGAGUACCCCGAGAAGUUCAGUAAGAGCAGCACGCAAUUCAGUCAUCACGGAGUGACAAACAUCGACAUUUUCAUCUGUUGACCGAACGGCUGCCCAUAUACGUUCUCCUAUCCCGGGACCUAAGUCAGGUCUGACUGUACUAACCCAUUCACCAUGGUUGCUCUUGAAUUCAUACCUAUUCUAUCAACCAAAUAAUAAAUUUGGAAUUCAUUAUGUACGACAAAUUUAAAUUUUGUUAAUCAAGGUGAAGAUGCAGAAAUUAUCACACUCAUAUUCAAGUCCACCAAAUCAGCACCUUGCGAGAAGAUGAAAGGCGGUUGAUAGGGCUGCCAAAGACGGUAUAAUGUACUCUUCACUUGGAUUUCCUUUAUCCAAGAAAGAGUUCAAGCUUGGAACUUUGUCCUUGACAACAUCCCCGAGGUUAGCAUGUUUUAUAACUUGACCUGCAUUUGCAGAUAUAACGAGUGAGCUUCUUCUUUCCAUGUUGUGAGCUUGUCACUAUCUCAGCAGGAGACCCAAUUUAAUUAAUUGAUUAAUUUUCAGUUAAUAAUCUGUCUAUUGAACAUAAUGGCCAAUUUGUGUCUUAAAACGUGGGGGAAUUAUAAAUUGGACUCGAUUCAUGUCAAUCAAAAUACUUACAGCUAGAGAUGAAACAGAUGAAUACGGUCAAAUCACUUACCCCCAAAUAACUUCUCAACUGACUCAACAAGUACUUGUUUCACUCGACUGCUUGGAACACUUGAAAUCUGGAAACAGUCUUCUGCGAUGAUUAACUGAGUGGGUACGACAGGACCCGUAUCAGGCAAUUGGAGUAACACUCGUCCAACUCUAUUCAAAAUCGCAGGAUUCCUUGCAAACCAUCCUAUAUCAGAAGUUAGUGUCAAAAGGAUGGUUUCCGAUUGCUUAGAGUGCUAGAUAGAUCAUUCACAUAGGUAAAGCUUUCGAAGUACUAUAGUUCCAAUUGCAGAAAAACUUAAACACAGAAGUGUCACGAGUAAUAAUCAACAAAGAUGCAGAAUGCACGGAUGGCAUAUGAAUCAUUGAAGCGGAGGAAGUUAGCUACUUUCUAGAAAUAAAGAGAGAUAUUUCCUGUUACAUAAAAUCAAGGGGAAAAAACCGAAAACAUGACCUUUUUUUUGUCACGACCAGAAAUCUAUUUCCUAAGCCAGUCUGCAAUAUAAAAUGUCAUUGAUUUCUCACCCACUGUAUCGAAACUUUGUGCCAGAGGAGUAACUCCAGAAGUAGAAAUGACACCAUGAGAUGGCCGAAACCCAAAAAUUCCACAAUGCGACGCAGGAAUUCUUACACUUCCUCCAGUGUCAGUUCCUGAAAAAGUGAGGGUCUUGUGCUUCAACAUAAAGAAGCAAGAAAACAACAAAAGCACACUAGGAAUAACUUACCUAAGGAAAAAUCUGCGAGGCCUACAGCUACGGCAACAGCAGAACCGCUAGAAGCCUCCAGGCACCCUAUCUGGAGCGCACGGAUUUCUGGGUGUGCCAUAAUGCUUGUUCUCUCCAUUCAUACUGCCAACAACACAGUGCAAAAUUCAAGGGCGUUUUCUGUCGAGUGAUUUUCGAAUGUCCAAAAUCAUUAUAUAAAUACUUUUACCACGAAAAGAGACUUGUAGCGAUCAAUCAUUUGUCAAAAUUUUUGGGAACAAAACAGUAAUGCAAGUUUAAGCAUGUGAAGUAAGACAAGGCCUCUUUGUACUAACCAGUAUGCCAUUUCAUCCAUGACAGUUAUACCAAUACUUGUGGCACCUCCACUCAAUAUUGCUGAAACAGCCGGAGCUGUUGAUUCAGCAGCCGGGUGAGUCCUCGCCCAAUCAGGAUUCCCAAACCCAGUCACACGUCCAGCCACAUCAAAUCUGCCUCCAAGUUCAAAUUUCAGUGAACACAAAAAUGUUUUGGCUUUUACACACACAUGAAAAAAAUUGCACAAUUCAACACCCUGAAGUUCACCAUCAUGGUUCCACAAGCACACAUAAAACCACACAAAGCAUGAAGAUUUAUUAAAACGCUUCUCUGAAAAAGCACUUCUCAUCAUAAGUGCUUUUGCUGGAAGUAUUUUUACUUUAGUAGAAGUAAAUCCACCACAAAGUUUCAUUAAAAAUUCAAGUGCUUCAGAAAAAAAACAUUUGAACUUUUUUUUCUGUAAGUGUUUUUAGUCAUUCUCAAAUGAAGAAACGCCCAAUCACAGAAACAACACACAAAAUUGGGUUCUUGGAGACAACUGAUUGAACCCAAAUCCGAAAUCAGCAAAUAAGCACAAAAGCAUAUGAAUUUUAAGUAUAACACUACAAAAUUUAAAGCAUCCACCAAAUAGAAGAGUGAUAUAAUUGAGGAAAAUUUAAGAGAGUAGCUCUCACAUGUCUUUAACAGCAAAGGUGAGGCCACUCAGAGGAAGGUCAUGUGAUGAAGACGGCGGUCGGAGAAGGAAUUUCUCCACGAAAGCUCCAUGAUCUGAGUCUAUCGCCAUCUCUCUCUGCCACUGCUGUCUCAGAUAAUCUCAGCUUCAGCAGCUGCUCCACAUUUGACGACAGAAGUGAAUAGCUCUCCACUCAUCAAUCAUACGAUGAUCCUAUUCAAAUGCAAGGACAGAUUAUUCCUUAAAAAAAUCUGUUGUUGAUAGGUGGUCACUUCAGUCAGUGAGGGCAAAGUGGAAAUUCUGG
RNAcentral lists this long non-coding RNA (12174 nucleotides) under Malus domestica (apple). RNAcentral's name for it is "long non-coding RNA (MDOM_LNC011644)". The record is from RNAcentral. Lineage: Eukaryota; Viridiplantae; Streptophyta; Magnoliopsida; Rosales; Rosaceae.